Long non-coding RNA from Betta splendens (Siamese fighting fish), 680 nucleotides. RefSeq lists it as uncharacterized. NCBI's taxonomy places the organism in Eukaryota, Metazoa, Chordata, Actinopteri, Anabantiformes, Osphronemidae. The record is from RefSeq and is a predicted model, not a curated record. The transcript is spliced from 4 exons.
CAAAAUAUGAGUCUGUGAACAACAACAGCAACGACGAGCAACGUGUAGAACGGGCACGCGCUAGUCAUCGACUAACGUGAACGCGCGUUGGGAAUUGCGUCCGCGCGCUCGUUUCAUUCAUGUCUGGGGCAUUGUACCAACAGCAACCACCAACAAAUAACAAACGUUUUAGAGCUACAAGAGCUGUGUGAAAUGUCAGUGUCAGGACACAACAGCAAGUUAACGUAACUUAAAUGAACAACGGGACUCGUUAGCUUGUCGUCCACAUUAAACAUCAGCUAACUGCUAGCGUUAGCUAAACUACCCGCUAAACAGCUAGCUAGUUUGUCUUGUUUACUUGCUUAACCAAAGAAAAAUACAAAACCAGUUAAAAAAGUGGUAUUUUGAGACAUUUCAACUCCACGGAGGAAUCAGUUACAUCUCAGACUAACAGCAAAUCGAAGUUCUGGGAAUUGAUCUUCAUCAUUCAUUUUUAUCAAAUGUAGAAGCAAAGGAUUAUGGAUCUCUGGAAAGCGUUCACCCUUGGGUCAGAAGACAAGACAAGGCGAGGAAUCUCCCCUUCCUGUACGGAAGUUUAUCCUGGUCGGCCUGCCCGUCACCGACGCCUCCCAGAGGAAAGUGACAGCAGCUUUAUUCACCCGCUGACCCGUGAAAAGGACAGAAGAAGAAAAAAAACAGGC